Molecule: ribosomal RNA, 305 nt
Filed under: uncultured bacterium
Lineage: Bacteria
Description: bacterial SSU rRNA
Rfam family: Bacterial small subunit ribosomal RNA
Source: RNAcentral
GGGGUCCUACGGGACGCAGCAGUAGGGAAUCUUCCACAAUGGGCGAAAGCCUGAUGGAGCAACGCCGCGUGGGUGAAGAAGGUCUUCGGAUCGUAAAACCCUGUUGUUAGAGAAGAAAGUGCGUGAGAGUAACUGUUCGCGUUUCGACGGUAUCUAACCAGAAGGCCACGGCUAACUACGUGCCAGCAGCCGCGGUAAUACGUAGGUGGCAAGCGUUAUCCGGAUUUAUUGGGCGUAAAUGGAACGCAGGCGGUCUUUUAAGUCUGAUGUGAAAGCCUUCGGCUUAACCGGGGUAGUGCAUUGGA